Molecule: ribosomal RNA, 497 nt
Filed under: uncultured bacterium
Lineage: Bacteria
Description: partial 16S ribosomal RNA
Rfam family: Bacterial small subunit ribosomal RNA
Source: RNAcentral
GAUGAACGCUGGCGGCGUGCCUAAUACAUGCAAGUCGAGCGAACAGAUCAGGAGCUUGCUCCUUUGACGUUAGCGGCGGACGGGUGAGUAACACGUGGGUACCCUACCUAUAAGACUGGAAUAACCCCGGGAAACCGGGGCUAAUGCCGGAUAACAUUUAGAACCGCAUGGUUCUAAAGUGAAAGAUGGUUUUGCUAUCUCUUAUCGAUGGACCCGCGCCGUAUUAGCUAGUUGGUAAGGUAACGGCUUACCACGGCAACGAUACGUAGCCGACCUGAGAGGGGGAUCGGCCACACUGGAACUUAGACCCGGUCAAGACUCCUACGGGAGGCAGCAGUAGGGAAUCUGCCGCAAUGGGCGAAAGCCUGACGGAGCAACGCCGCGUGAGUGAUGAAGGUCUUCGGAUCGUAAAACUCUGUUAUUAGGGAAGAACAAAUGUGUAAGUAACUGUGCACGUCUUGACGGUACCUAAUCAGAAAGCCACGGCUAACUACGUG